AUGAAGAUAGUUCAUUCCCCUAGCGAUAUCAAGAGAAAAUCUCCAAAUUUUGGAUGGAGAAAGACGCCCCUUCUUCUGAAGAUAACUUGCGAAGUCACCCUGGAAUACACAUAUUUUACAGUUCAAAUUAAGAUUAAAAUCCAUUCAAUCAAGGUAAUUCUUUUGAUAAAGCAUUUCCCUUGCAUAACUGGACCAAGAAAGAAACUAUUCUAAAAGACACCUAUUAUAGACCAAAUUCAACAAAAUGAAUGCAGAUUAUGCCUUUUAUAGGAAAUUUAAAAUACAAACGAACAUACAUUUCAAAAACAAUGGGACUGAAAGCCUUGCCUUAAUUAAAGAUAUGAAAAAUUAAUAAGUCCAAUAUAUCAUCCAGUCAUAAAUUUCUUCAAGAUAUUUUUCACCGCUGCAUACACAAUUCAAUUAAACUAUAUUUGCCAAAAUAUCAUAAAGUUUGAAGCUAAAUACAAGAAGACCAAGAAAAAAAAGAGGGGAAUGCUUAAUUUUCUGAACAAAUAAUCAAGCAAAAUUUUUUCAGAUGAUGAAUACAAAUUACAAAGUGAUCAUGCAAUCAAGAAAUUCUUCUUUUAAGCAGUUUUAUACAAUGAUUAUAUUUCUACUAAGGCAAAUAAAAAGAAUUUUUUUUUAAAUUUUAUUUAAUUAUUAUUGCG
This 668-nucleotide unclassified non-coding RNA is filed under the name Hevea brasiliensis (rubber tree). Lineage: Eukaryota; Viridiplantae; Streptophyta; Magnoliopsida; Malpighiales; Euphorbiaceae. The record is from RNAcentral.